UUGCCAGUGUCCAUUUCCAUGGAAACAGGAACAGGUACAGCAGCAUUCAGCAGAGCUGUUAAGAAAUCUUGGCUAUAGCAGCUGGGACUGAAAGUAGAAUGGCUGUUAUUCAAACUGAACUUACAGAUUGGGUGUGCUGGAAGGGUGUCUGACAGUUACGCUUCGGCCAGAGGCCUCAGGGGAAAUUCUGGCCAACUCAGCAGUAACUGUUCCCAGAGGCAGCUGGGCUGAACACUGCAGCAUAGCAGCUUCCAGACCCUUUAGCCUUGUCUACUAGGUGAAUUCUUGAAAAAUUUCCCACCAUUGCUACCAGCUCUUUUGAAUUAUAAACAGACUGAUUGUUAGUCUGUUGCUGUUAGUUUAACAUAACCAGGAUGAUUGGUUCAUUUCUGUCAAUCAGUGACACAAACAAUUUAGGAUGACAUCAACUGCAGCAAUUUCGUAACUAUUAAAUAACCCUUACUAUUGUGGCCUUUUUUUUCUUUCAAUCACUGUAAAGGUAGCAUGUAUUAUUUGCCCUUUCUUUAUGAAAUGGGAAUUGUUUUGGAUUGCUAUACUUUGCUAAUCUGUAGAUUGUCACUGGUCUUUAUAAAGUUCUGAUGUUUUGUUAAAUAGAUUUUGGUAAUUAAUUGCAAUUGAAGUGAAGCAGUGGAUAAGAGACAAAAGUGAAGAACUGUAUUGUACCUUAAAUUCAAUCAGUGUCAAAAAGGCUUCCUACCAAUGAUGACAGGCUAUUUUUCCCGACCAUUUAGAAACAAUAUGGACAAUUUAAGCUGUUAGCAUUAGUAAACUAUAAACAAGCAUGCUAAAUUGUUUUAACCAUUUUUUGAUGUUUCAUCUGCAAGUUACAGUUAUGUUCAGACAAACAGCUUUUCCAUUUCACUUUCUAACAGAAGUGUAACCAACAGGGUCUGCAUCCUGGGUGACAGCAGCAAUAGGGGCAGCAGCUGGACUGGCAACAGCUGUGCCUAGUGUUCUUGCCCUGGCUGCUUACCCCUCAUUAUGCUACAGCUCUCCAAGUUGCUUGCGGUUGGCCUCUGUCUUUGUACCCUGUGAUUUUACCAUAUAAUAUAAAACUCUACAUUUCAUUUACUUGAAAAUUAAUGAAUACAAAAUAAUGUUAAACCAGCACAUAACAAUUACUAAAUUGAUGAUGCUGAACUGAUGCGGGCCACUCUUGAAAAUCAGACCAUUUGACUAUCUAAGGAUAUAAGAGAUUACUUUAGGUGUCAAUUUUUAGUACUUCAUACCUAAUAUUUUUAUGGGGUAAGAGUAAUCCGCUAAUCCUAGACCUUUCUUUUUCAAAACCCCCAAAAACUUUAGAAGUUCUCUCUGCAGUUGAGAAUCUAGCAUAUUGUGUUGCUAUGUUAAUUGGGCUUCCAACUGGCAAAGGGCAAUCAUGCAAUUUAUUUAAUAGAAAAACUUAUGAGAAAGUUUUGUACUUGGAUUCAAAUGCUAAUUAGAUACAAUGUGCUUUAGAACAUCCAUAUACAACUCCAAAGGGAACCGCAGAGUGAAAUUCACUUAUCCUGAUUGGAUUAAACAGAAACUAUGCUGUACUAGGAACAAGAAAUCAAGCAAUUUGUGCAACAACAUACUCUGCCAACAUUCAAAUGUACAAUGCCAGUAAGCAAACAACUCCUGUCUUGGAAUAUAGAAUCUAAUAAAACAAAUGCAUGGACUGCUCGAUCAGGUGGAAAUGAAUGGUUGAUAAAAUUAUUUCUGCUGCUUAAUUAUUUAUGUACAAACUGCAAACAGAAUAACUUAUUUUGGUUUGUUUGUUUUUUUUGUAUUUUUGUAAUGCAUUCCAACAUUGUGUGUUUGAACAUUCUACUCUGGUAUUAUGAGGUGGCGCUUCUGCUUUGGAGAUACUGCAAAGAGAACAAGGAGGAGAAAGGAAAAUGUUUAAUGGUAAAAACAGGAUGGAGUGGAGAACAGAUGCUGUGAAAAACAGCUAUGGAGGGGCUUUGCUGAGGAGUAGCAGAUCAACUUUUUUUAAAUGGGAACAUGACCCCAAACUUUUUCCUUGGUUCUGCUCUUUCUGAUUCUUCCACUGCGUGAGGAAGGAUUCCACUGGUAAUAAUGAUAACAUUUUAUUCUUCUCCAUGAUUGUGACUUUCCCCACGGACUGACAUCUUCCUUCCUUGAAAUCUUCUCAGACCCACCUGCUUUUUUCCACAUUUCCAAAGAUUUGUUUGUGGGGCCCAGCAUCUUUCACAGUCUCUCCAAGACCCUGCCUCCCACUAAAUUAAAAUCUGUCUACUUUUGAUGUAAACAAUGCACUGUUGUUCACAGUAAAAUCUAUAAUUUUUUAAAUUCCAAAGUGACUGUUGUCCAGUCCAAAAGUCACCUGGGCUAAUGUUCCCUAUGGCAGGACCCAAGAGUGGUAAGGAGAAGGAAAAGGAAGCCUUACAGUGGGGUUUAAACUAUGUAUUAGGAAUAUUGGAGUACAACAAUAAAGGGCAGCAAGAAUGGAUUAAUUCACCCAUCACUACUUUGUCAGAUUGAAAACAAACAUCUGGGCUACCCAAUGAGUACAAAAUACUAAUCGCUGCAAACCUA
Long non-coding RNA from Gavialis gangeticus (Gharial), 2562 nucleotides. RefSeq lists it as uncharacterized. The record is from RefSeq and is a predicted model, not a curated record. The transcript is spliced from 3 exons. NCBI's taxonomy places the organism in Eukaryota, Metazoa, Chordata, Crocodylia, Gavialidae.